Molecule: unclassified non-coding RNA, 251 nt
Filed under: Hevea brasiliensis (rubber tree)
Lineage: Eukaryota; Viridiplantae; Streptophyta; Magnoliopsida; Malpighiales; Euphorbiaceae
Source: RNAcentral
UGUAACAAGUUGCUUUGACACAAGCCAUGUAUGCAACCUGCUGAAAUCAGACAUUUCUCAGUAACUUAUCUUUCUCCUGUUGAUUUUCCUAGUCAAUUGGACUGAUGACACGAGUCAUUUGUCGAGGGGGAAAAGAAGAAGACUGCAUAUAGUUGUUAAUCAUUGGUUGUUGAUAUACUUAUUUUAUGUAGGCAUUUUAAGGUAUUUUUGUAUCCAUUUUCCCCUUUAACUUUAUGUUCUAUAGCAUUUUU